This 253-nucleotide ribosomal RNA is filed under the name uncultured bacterium. RNAcentral's name for it is "partial 16S ribosomal RNA". It matches the Rfam family "Bacterial small subunit ribosomal RNA", at positions 524 to 776 of the family's 1533-position model. The record is from RNAcentral.
UACGAAGGGGGCUAGCGUUGCUCGGAAUCACUGGGCGUAAAGGGCGCGUAGGCGGAUCUUUAAGUCGGGGGUGAAAGCCUGAGGUUCAACCUCAGAAUUGCCUUCGAUACUGGAGAUCUUGAGACCGGAAGAGGUAAGUGGAACUGCGAGUGUAGAGGUGAAAUUCGUAGAUAUUCGCAAGAACACCAGUGGCGAAGGCGGCUUACUGGUCCGGUUCUGACGCUGAGGCGCGAAAGCGUGGGGAGCAAACAGG